This 438-nucleotide ribosomal RNA is filed under the name uncultured bacterium. RNAcentral's name for it is "bacterial SSU rRNA". It matches the Rfam family "Bacterial small subunit ribosomal RNA", at positions 8 to 478 of the family's 1533-position model. The record is from RNAcentral.
AGAGUUUGAUCCUGGCUCAGAAUCAACGCUGGCGGCGUGCCUAACACAUGCAAGUCGAACGAGAAAGGGGAGCAAUCCCUGAGUAAAGUGGCGCACGGGUGAGUAACACGUGACUAACCUACCCUUGAGUGGGGGAUAACUGAGGGAAACCUUAGCUAAUACCGCAUAAUACCCACGGGUCAAAGGAGCAAUUCGCUCGAGGAGGGGGUCGCGGCCGAUUAGUUAGUUGGCGGGGUAAUGGCCCACCAAGACGAUGAUCGGUAUCCGGCCUGAGAGGGCGCACGGACACACUGGAACUGAAACACGGUCCAGACUCCUACGGGAGGCAGCAGUGGGGAAUUUUGCGCAAUGGGGGAAACCCUGACGCAGCAACGCCGCGUGGAGGAUGAAGUCCUUCGGGACGUAAACUCCUUUCGAUCGGGACGAUUAUGACGGUAC